RNAcentral lists this transfer RNA (83 nucleotides) under Candidatus Anderseniibacteriota bacterium. Its description in RNAcentral is "tRNA-Leu". It matches the Rfam family "tRNA". From Rfam's summary of the family: Transfer RNA (tRNA) molecules are approximately 80 nucleotides in length. Their secondary structure includes four short double-helical elements and three loops (D, anti-codon, and T loops). Further hydrogen bonds mediate the characteristic L-shaped molecular structure. tRNAs have two regions of fundamental functional importance: the anti-codon, which is responsible for specific mRNA codon recognition, and the 3' end, to which the tRNAs corresponding amino acid is attached (by aminoacyl-tRNA synthetases). tRNAs cope with the degeneracy of the genetic code in two manners: having more than one tRNA (with a specific anti-codon) for a particular amino acid; and 'wobble' base-pairing, i.e. permitting non-standard base-pairing at the 3rd anti-codon position. The record is from RNAcentral. RNAcentral also lists the same sequence under 1 other name. Lineage: Bacteria; Candidatus Anderseniibacteriota.
GCCGCGGUGGCGGAACGGUAGACGCACAAGACUCAAAAUCUUGCGAGGGUUUCCUCAUGAGAGUUCGAUUCUCUCCCGCGGCA